GUAUUGCUGAGGAGUCUCACAAUAGGACGAAACAGUCGUUCAGUAC
RNAcentral lists this non-coding RNA (46 nucleotides) under Schistosoma margrebowiei. The record is from RNAcentral. Lineage: Eukaryota; Metazoa; Platyhelminthes; Trematoda; Strigeidida; Schistosomatidae.